RNAcentral lists this ribosomal RNA (820 nucleotides) under Pseudocercospora chiangmaiensis. Its description in RNAcentral is "eukaryotic LSU rRNA". It matches the Rfam family "Eukaryotic large subunit ribosomal RNA", at positions 95 to 947 of the family's 3401-position model. The record is from RNAcentral. Lineage: Eukaryota; Fungi; Ascomycota; Dothideomycetes; Mycosphaerellales; Mycosphaerellaceae.
GAAGCGGCAACAGCUCAAAUUUGAAAUCUGGCGUAAGCCCGAGUUGUAAUUUGUAGAGGAUGCUUCUGGGUAGCGGCCGGUCUAAGUUCCUUGGAACAGGACGUCAUAGAGGGUGAGAAUCCCGUAUGUGACUGGCUUGCACCCUCCACGUAGCUCCUUCGACGAGUCGAGUUGUUUGGGAAUGCAGCUCUAAAUGGGAGGUAAAUUUCUUCUAAAGCUAAAUACCGGCCAGAGACCGAUAGCGCACAAGUAGAGUGAUCGAAAGAUGAAAAGCACUUUGGAAAGAGAGUUAAAAAGCACGUGAAAUUGUUGAAAGGGAAGCGCCCGCAACCAGACUUUGCGGCGGUGUUCGGCUGGUCUUCUGACCGGUUUACUCGCCGCCGUGAGGCCAUCAUCGUCUGGGACCGCUGGAUAAGACCUGAGGAAUGUAGCUCCCUUCGGGGUGUGUUAUAGCCUCUGGUGAUGCAGCGCGUCUCGGGCGAGGUCCGCGCUUCGGCAAGGAUGAUGGCGUAAUGGUUGUCGGCGGCCCGUCUUGAAACACGGACCAAGGAGUCUAACAUCUAUGCGAGUGUUCGGGUGUCAAACCCCUACGCGUAAUGAAAGUGAACGGAGGUGGGAACUUUUUGUGCACCAUCGACCGAUCCUGAUGUCCUCGGAUGGAUUUGAGUAAGAGCAUAGCUGUUGGGACCCGAAAGAUGGUGAACUAUGCCUGAAUAGGGUGAAGCCAGAGGAAACUCUGGUGGAGGCUCGCAGCGGUUCUGACGUGCAAAUCGAUCGUCAAAUUUGGGUAUAGGGGCGAAAGACUAAUCGAACCAUCUAG